AGAGUGAACGCUGGCGGCAGGCCUAACACAUGCAAGUCGAACGGGUAUCUUCGGAUACUAGUGGCGGACGGGUGAGUAACGCGUGGGAACAUACCCUUUGGUACGGAAUAGCCUCGGGAAACUGGGAGUAAUACCGUAUGUGCCCUUCGGGGGAAAGAUUUAUCGCCAAAGGAUUGGCCCGCGUUGGAUUAGGUAGUUGGUAGGGUAAUGGCCUACCAAGCCGACGAUCCAUAGCUGGUUUGAGAGGAUGAUCAGCCACACUGGGACUGAGACACGGCCCAGACUCCUACGGGAGGCAGCAGUGGGGAAUCUUAGACAAUGGGCGCAAGCCUGAUCUAGCCAUGCCGCGUGAUCGAUGAAGGCCUUAGGGUUGUAAAGAUCUUUCAGAUGGGAAGAUAAUGACGGUACCAUCAGAAGAAGCCCCGGCUAACUCCGUGCCAGCAGCCGC
Molecule: ribosomal RNA, 448 nt
Filed under: uncultured bacterium
Lineage: Bacteria
Description: SSU rRNA
Rfam family: Bacterial small subunit ribosomal RNA
Source: RNAcentral